UGCCAGCAGCCGCGGUAAUACGAAGGGGGCUAGCGUUGUUCGGAAUUACUGGGCGUAAAGCGCGCGUAGGCGGAUUGGAAAGUUGGGGGUGAAAUCCCGGGGCUCAACCCCGGAACUGCCUCCAAAACUGCCAGUCUAGAGUUCGAGAGAGGUGAGUGGAAUUCCUGGUGUAGCAGUGAAAUGCGUGGAUAUCAGGAGGAACAUCAAUGGCGAAGGCAACUUACUGGACAUUUACUGACGCUCAGACACGAAGGCUAGGGUAGCGAAAGGGAUUAGAUA
This 279-nucleotide ribosomal RNA is filed under the name uncultured bacterium. Its description in RNAcentral is "partial 16S ribosomal RNA". It matches the Rfam family "Bacterial small subunit ribosomal RNA", at positions 506 to 784 of the family's 1533-position model. The record is from RNAcentral.